GACGAACGCUGGCGGCGUGCUUAACACAUGCAAGUCGAACGGAAAGGCCCUGCUUUUGUGGGGUGCUCGAGUGGCGAACGGGUGAGUAACACGUGAGUAACCUGCCCUUGACUUUGGGAUAACUUCAGGAAACUGGGGCUAAUACCGGAUAGGAGCUCCUGCUGCAUGGUGGGGGUUGGAAAGUUUCGGCGGUUGGGGUUGGACUCGCGGCUUAUCAGCUUGUUGGUGGGGUAGUGGCUUACCAAGGCUUUGACGGGUAGCCGGCCUGAGAGGGUGACCGGCGACAUUGGGACUGAGAUACGGCCCAGACUCCUACGGGAGGCAGCAGUGGGGAAUAUUGCCCAAUGGGCGGAAGCCUGAUGCAGCGACGCCGCGUGCGGGAUGACGGCCUUCGGGUUGUAAACCGCUUUCGCCUGUGACGAAGCGUGAGUGACGGUAAUGGGUAAAGAAGCACCGGCUAACUACGUG
This 468-nucleotide ribosomal RNA is filed under the name uncultured bacterium. Its description in RNAcentral is "partial 16S ribosomal RNA". It matches the Rfam family "Bacterial small subunit ribosomal RNA", at positions 28 to 507 of the family's 1533-position model. The record is from RNAcentral.